This 896-nucleotide ribosomal RNA is filed under the name Lactiplantibacillus plantarum. RNAcentral describes it as "bacterial SSU rRNA". It matches the Rfam family "Bacterial small subunit ribosomal RNA", at positions 319 to 1206 of the family's 1533-position model. The record is from RNAcentral. Lineage: Bacteria; Bacillati; Bacillota; Bacilli; Lactobacillales; Lactobacillaceae.
CUGAGGACACGGUCCAAACUCCUACGGGAGGCAGCAGUAGGGAAUCUUCCACCAUGGACGAAAGUCUGAUGGAGCAACGCCGCGUGAGUGAAGAAGGGUUUCGGCUCGUAAAACUCUGUUGUUAAAGAAGAACAUAUCUGAGAGUAACUGUUCAGGUAUUGACGGUAUUUAACCAGAAAGCCACGGCUAACUACGUGCCAGCAGCCGCGGUAAUACGUAGGUGGCAAGCGUUGUCCGGGAUUUAUUGGGCGUAAAGCGAGCGCAGGCGGUUUUUUAAGUCUGAUGUGAAAGCCUUCGGCUCAACCGAAGAAGUGCAUCGGAAACUGGGAAACUUGAGUGCAGAAGAGGACAGUGGAACUCCAUGUGUAGCGGUGAAAUGCGUAGAUAUAUGGAAGAACACCAGUGGCGAAGGCGGCUGUCUGGUCUGUAACUGACGCUGAGGCUCGAAAGUAUGGGUAGCAAACAGGAUUAGAUACCCUGGUAGUCCAUACCGUAAACGAUGAAUGCUAAGUGUUGGAGGGUUUCCGCCCUUCAGUGCUGCAGCUAACGCAUUAAGCAUUCCGCCUGGGGAGUACGGCCGCAAGGCUGAAACUCAAAGGAAUUGACGGGGGCCCGCACAAGCGGUGGAGCAUGUGGUUUAAUUCGAAGCUACGCGAAGAACCUUACCAGGUCUUGACAUACUAUGCAAAUCUAAGAGAUUAGACGUUCCCUUCGGGGACAUGGAUACAGGUGGUGCAUGGUUGUCGUCAGCUCGUGUCGUGAGAUGUUGGGUUAAGUCCCGCAACGAGCGCAACCCUUAUUAUCAGUUGCCAGCAUUAAGUUGGGCACUCUGGUGAGACUGCCGGUGACAAACCGGAGGAAGGUGGGGAUGACGUCAAAUCAUCAUGCCCCUUAUG